RNAcentral lists this long non-coding RNA (442 nucleotides) under Helianthus annuus (common sunflower). The record is from RNAcentral. Lineage: Eukaryota; Viridiplantae; Streptophyta; Magnoliopsida; Asterales; Asteraceae.
CUUAACUUGUGGGCCGGCCCAUGAUUAAACAAACAGGGUUCCAACAAACUGACCUACUUCUAGGGCAAAGUCGCAAUCUGGAGUGGAAACUGCAAGGGAGCGAAGAAUCGAUGGAAUUAUAGGUCGGUCAAAAUCGAAACCAUUUGGAAGAAAAUGCAAACAAAUUGUUGUUUAAUUGCUUAGUUUGUAUUUGGGUGCGGUCAAUUCCCACAAUUUUUUUAAAUUAAAUCUCUUAAUUUUGAUAUGAAUUUACGGUUUAUUCUUUCACAGCCUCUAGGCCAUCUGGAACAAAAUGCAAUUUUUUAUUUUUUUUAUAUUUAAUUGUAUGUAAGUUGCUAAAGUUUCAUUCUUUUUUUGUAUUUGAGGUAUGUGGAUAUGUGAUAUUUCGCUGCCAUGGUACGUAAAGUUGUCUUGUCUUCAAUUUGUUUUCACAUGAUAGCAG